RNAcentral lists this long non-coding RNA (821 nucleotides) under Homo sapiens (human). RNAcentral's name for it is "HSALNT0368684". The record is from RNAcentral. Lineage: Eukaryota; Metazoa; Chordata; Mammalia; Primates; Hominidae.
UGUUUAUGCAAAUGAAAGAUUGACACUUGUUUAGUUCUGAUUGGUCAAUAAGCUGAGAUCUGAUUGGUUGAGGCAGUUAAGCUGUGAUUGAUUGGUUGGUUCAGGUGAGCACUGAAAAGUCUCAAAGUUAAAAACGUACAGUUUUCCAGGGUUUUCGGGCAACUCAAAGAAUAUGUGUAACCUCUACUCACCAAAUGGCCACUUGGCUCUAUUUUAAAUUUAGGCCCAGUUAGCUACUUGGGAUCCAUCAUGAAGGACUGGCUCUUUCAGGUUCACAUUUGUUCACCAAGUGAUGAACCUCAUUUUUGAGUGUGGAGAUUGGAACUUAGGGAAGUGAUUUGUAACUUUGCUCCAGCUUGAGACUUGGCUUGGAAAUAACCUCCAAGGCCUGGAAUACCAGCAUUGACAGCCUUACCUGGGUGCACCUCAGGAGUAUGCUCAAAGAGUGAGAAAGGAGUUUGGAGACAGAAAGACGGAAGAGUUGAUAUUCCGCUCACAGAUGUCAAUUUUCAAAGAAAUUUCUGCCCAUUAUGGAUGCACCACAAAUACUAAAGUCUAUGCAAUAUAUAUUUUGAAAAGAAUUUUUUUCGUGAAACUGUAAUUUUCGUUCAUAAGAGUAUAUUUCCUGACUUAGCAUUUUAUUGACUAGAUUAAAAUUUUGUUCCCCAAAGUAAGUGUGUGUGUGUGUGUGUGUGUGUGUGUGCACGCACACGUGUGUGUGCAUUCCUGAGGAUUAUUCUAAGGCUGAACUCCUUCAUAGAAAUGGAAUUUUUCUCUCUAUGCUCACAUUUUAAAACAGCUCACACAAGCCAGGCAGAAAC